GAUGAAGAACGUAGCGAAAUGCGAUAAGUAAUGUGAAUUGCAGAAUUCAGUGAAUCAUCGAAUCUUUGAACGCACAUUGCGCCCGCCAGUAUUCUGGCGGGCAUGCCUGUUCGAGCGUCAUUACAACCCUCAGGCCCCCGGGCCUGGCGUUGGGGAUCGGCGAGGCGCCCCCCGCGGGCACGCGCCGUCCCCCAAAUACAGUGGCGGUCCCGCCGCAGCUUCCAUUGCGUAGUAGCUAACACCUCGCAACUGGAGAGCGGCGCGGCCAUGCCGUAAAACACCCAACUUCUGAAUGUUGACCUCGAAUCAGGUAGGAAUACCCGCUGAACUUAAGCAUAUCAAUAAGCGGAGGA
This 353-nucleotide unclassified non-coding RNA is filed under the name soil metagenome. Its description in RNAcentral is "partial contains 5.8S ribosomal RNA, internal transcribed spacer 2, and large subunit ribosomal RNA". The stretch from base 1 to 120 matches the Rfam family "5.8S ribosomal RNA", at positions 35 to 154 of the family's 154-position model. The record is from RNAcentral.